Molecule: ribosomal RNA, 1450 nt
Filed under: uncultured organism
Description: 16S ribosomal RNA
Rfam family: Bacterial small subunit ribosomal RNA
Source: RNAcentral
ACGAACGCUGGCGGCGUGCUUAACACAUGCAAGUCGAACGGAAAGGCCCUGCUUUUGUGGGGUGCUCGAGUGGCGAACGGGUGAGUAACACGUGAGUAACCUGCCCUUGACUUUGGGAUAACUUCAGGAAACUGGGGCUAAUACCGGAUAGGAGCUCCUGCUGCAUGGUGGGGGUUGGAAAGUUUCGGCGGUUGGGGAUGGACUCGCGGCUUAUCAGCUUGUUGGUGGGGUAGUGGCUUACCAAGGCUUUGACGGGUAGCCGGCCUGAGAGGGUGACCGGCCACAUUGGGACUGAGAUACGGCCCAGACUCCUACGGGAGGCAGCAGUGGGGAAUAUUGCACAAUGGGCGGAAGCCUGAUGCAGCAACGCCGCGUGCGGGAUGACGGCCUUCGGGUUGUAAACCGCUUUCGCCUGUGACGAAGCGUGAGUGACGGUAAUGGGUAAAGAAGCACCGGCUAACUACGUGCCAGCAGCCGCGGUGAUACGUAGGGUGCGAGCGUUGUCCGGAUUUAUUGGGCGUAAAGGGCUCGUAGGUGGUUGAUCGCGUCGGAAGUGUAAUCUUGGGGCUUAACCCUGAGCGUGCUUUCGAUACGGGUUGACUUGAGGAAGGUAGGGGAGAAUGGAAUUCCUGGUGGAGCGGUGGAAUGCGCAGAUAUCAGGAGGAACACCAGUAGCGAAGGCGGUUCUCUGGGCCUUUCCUGACGCUGAGGAGCGAAAGCGUGGGGAGCGAACAGGCUUAGAUACCCUGGUAGUCCACGCUGUAAACGGUGGGUACUAGGUGUGGGGUCCAUUCCACGGGUUCCGUGCCGUAGCUAACGCUUUAAGUACCCCGCCUGGGGAGUACGGCCGCAAGGCUAAAACUCAAAGGAAUUGACGGGGCCCCGCACAAGCGGCGGAGCAUGCGGAUUAAUUCGAUGCAACGCGUAGAACCUUACCUGGGUUUGACAUGGAUCGGGAGUGCUCAGAGAUGGGUGUGCCUCUUUUGGGGUCGGUUCACAGGUGGUGCAUGCCUGUCGUCAGCUCGUGUCGUGAGAUGUUGGGUUAAGUCCCGCAACGAGCGCAACCCUUGUUCACUGUUGCCAGCACGUUAUGGUGGGGACUCAGUGGAGACCGCCGGGGUCAACUCGGAGGAAGGUGGGGAUGACGUCAAGUCCUCAUGCCCCUUAUGUCCAGGGCUUCACGCAUGCUACAAUGGCUGGUACAGAGAGUGGCGAGCCUGUGAGGGUGAGCGAAUCUCGGAAAGCCGGUCUCAGUUCGGAUUGGGGUCUGCAACUCGACCUCAUGAAGUCGGAGUCGCUAGUAAUCGCAGAUCAGCAACGCUGCGGUGAAUACGUUCCCGGGGCUUGUACACACCGCCCGUCAAGUCAUGAAAGUUGGUAACACCCGAAGCCGGUGGCCUAACCGUUGUGGGGGAGCCGUCGAAGGUGGGACUGGUGAUUAGGACUAAGU